Molecule: transfer RNA, 79 nt
Filed under: Elusimicrobiota bacterium
Lineage: Bacteria; Pseudomonadati; Elusimicrobiota
Description: Elusimicrobia bacterium (hot springs metagenome) tRNA-Pro
Rfam family: tRNA
About the family: Transfer RNA (tRNA) molecules are approximately 80 nucleotides in length. Their secondary structure includes four short double-helical elements and three loops (D, anti-codon, and T loops).
Source: RNAcentral
CGGGGUGUGGCUCAGUUGGAUUCAGAGCGCAUGGUUCGGGACCAUGAGGUCGUGGGUUCAAGUCCCACCACCCCGACCA